AGUAACGGCGAGUGAAGCGGGAAGAGCUCAAAUUUAAAAUCUGGCAGGCUACGCUUGUCCGAAUUGUAAUCUCGAGAAGUGUUUUCCGCGUUGGCCUGUGUACAAGUCCCUUGGAACAGGGCGUCAUAGAGGGUGAGAAUCCCGUCCUUGACACAGACACCCAAUGCUUUGUGAUACACUCUCAAUGAGUCGAGUUGUUUGGGAAUGCAGCUCAAAAUGGGUGGUAAAUUCCAUCUAAAGCUAAAUACUGGCGAGAGACCGAUAGCGAACAAGUACCGUGAGGGAAAGAUGAAAAGCACUUUGGAAAGAGAGUCAAACAGUACGUGAAAUUGUUGAAAGGGAAACGAUUGAAGUCAGUCGUGCCUGCCUAGAUUCAGCCUUCUGGUGUAUUUCUAGGUCGGCAGGUCAGCAUCAGUUUGGGGGGGUUAACAAGGGAGCUGGGAAUGUGGCAACCUCGGUUGUGUUAUAGCCCAGUUUCGCAUUGAUCU
This 488-nucleotide ribosomal RNA is filed under the name Cystofilobasidium infirmominiatum. Its description in RNAcentral is "LSU rRNA". It matches the Rfam family "Eukaryotic large subunit ribosomal RNA", at positions 82 to 578 of the family's 3401-position model. The record is from RNAcentral. Lineage: Eukaryota; Fungi; Basidiomycota; Tremellomycetes; Cystofilobasidiales; Cystofilobasidiaceae.